ACUCAAAGGAAUUGACGGGGGCCCGCACAAGCGGUGGAGCAUGUGGUUUAAUUCGAUGCAACGCGAAGAACCUUACCUAGGUUUGACAUCUACUGGAAGACUCUCAGAAAUGAGGUCGCCUUCGGGCCGGUAGACAGGUGCUGCAUGGCUGUCGUCAGCUCGUGUCGUGAGAUGUUGGGUUAAGUCCCGCAACGAGCGCAACCCUCGUGUUUAGUUGCCAGCAUUCAGUUGGGCACUCUAAACAGACUGCCGACGUUAAGUCGGAGGAAGGUGGGGAUGACGUCAAGUCCUCAUGGCCUUUAUAUCUAGGGCUACACACGUGCUACAAUGGUCGGUACAGAGGGAAGCCAAAUAGUAAUAUGGAGCCAAUCCCUUAAAGCCGAUCUAAGUUCAGAUUGAGGUCUGCAACUCGACCUCAUGAAGGUGGAAUCGCUAGUAAUCGCGGAUCAGAACGCCGCGGUGAAUACGUUCCCGGGCCUUGCACACACCGCCCGU
This 495-nucleotide ribosomal RNA is filed under the name uncultured bacterium. RNAcentral's name for it is "partial 16S ribosomal RNA". It matches the Rfam family "Bacterial small subunit ribosomal RNA", at positions 899 to 1397 of the family's 1533-position model. The record is from RNAcentral.